Molecule: long non-coding RNA, 932 nt
Filed under: Olea europaea subsp. europaea
Lineage: Eukaryota; Viridiplantae; Streptophyta; Magnoliopsida; Lamiales; Oleaceae
Source: RNAcentral
CAAAAAUUAGAAAUUGACAUUCUAAUUCUAUUUUCCCUAGAAAAUUGAUGCCUAUCAAACGGUGCCUUAGUAUUUUUUACUUUUUGUCAAAGUUUUAUUUUAAUUUGUCAACAAAGACACCUGUAGAUGGAUUAUUGCUUUAAUAUUUGCGAGAGAAUUUGAUAUGAUUUUUAUUUUUUUAUUAUUUCAUUCCAUUAUUAAGAUAUCGAUUUAAUAUGUCGUCAUAACAUUACAAAUAACAUAACUGCAUGUGCAUAUAAUUUGGAAAAGUACAUUGAACCGAUAAAAGAAACUCCAGAACUACGGGCAGCGUAGUUGCAGAAUAGAGAUAGACUUAACGUAGCCACCAGGUACACCGAUCGUCCCUUGAUCUGGUGUAGCAGAAGUUUAUUUUUAUCACCUCCGCCAGCAGGUGGACGUCCGCGGCCGGUUGUCGUGGCUUUAGGAUAUUCCGGCAGAGUGGACAUGUUCUGUGUCCAUAUCCUACCCACCUAUCUAAGCAAACCCUGUGAUAAAGAUGGUGGCAUCUCAGCUCUCUAACCUCAUCCCCUUCAUCAAUUCUGCAUAGGCAAACAGCACACUCUACCGAUGAAUCCCCACACUCUGCAUUACUAUUAUUUUCAUAACUCAUUACGUUAAGGUCAUCAGCAUAGUCUGGUAAUUCGAUUCCACGAGGCUGAAAGAAGGAUUGGUGAAGAAGGAUAUCCCAUGCCCACUUCAGCUGGGAUGAAAUAAGAAUUAUGUAUUCCAAUACAACUGACUUCAUCCUAUGCGUAAAGAUAAUAGUUUCUUGGGACACUUCUGCUGUAGCUUGUUUUGAAAGGGAAGGGGUGAAGCGGGUGCAGUAUUGCUUCUCUAUGGCACCUGUGGGAUGUGCAUUUGGCCAUUUAGGUAUAUAUAGGCAUUUUUGAGAGAGAGAGAGAAUAUGUGGC